AAGAGACCUAUCAAGACCUGUAUCCAGGA
Molecule: non-coding RNA, 29 nt
Filed under: Homo sapiens (human)
Lineage: Eukaryota; Metazoa; Chordata; Mammalia; Primates; Hominidae
Source: RNAcentral